GUGGAUAUGGUGAAGCGGUUAACACACUGGAUUGUGGCUCCAGCACGCGUGGGUUCGAUCCCCACUAUCCACCCCA
This 76-nucleotide transfer RNA is filed under the name Acidaminococcus sp. AM05-11. Its description in RNAcentral is "tRNA-His". It matches the Rfam family "tRNA". From Rfam's summary of the family: Transfer RNA (tRNA) molecules are approximately 80 nucleotides in length. Their secondary structure includes four short double-helical elements and three loops (D, anti-codon, and T loops). Further hydrogen bonds mediate the characteristic L-shaped molecular structure. tRNAs have two regions of fundamental functional importance: the anti-codon, which is responsible for specific mRNA codon recognition, and the 3' end, to which the tRNAs corresponding amino acid is attached (by aminoacyl-tRNA synthetases). tRNAs cope with the degeneracy of the genetic code in two manners: having more than one tRNA (with a specific anti-codon) for a particular amino acid; and 'wobble' base-pairing, i.e. permitting non-standard base-pairing at the 3rd anti-codon position. The record is from RNAcentral. RNAcentral also lists the same sequence under 1 other name. Lineage: Bacteria; Bacillati; Bacillota; Negativicutes; Acidaminococcales; Acidaminococcaceae.